This 1392-nucleotide ribosomal RNA is filed under the name metagenome. Its description in RNAcentral is "bacterial SSU rRNA". It matches the Rfam family "Archaeal small subunit ribosomal RNA". The record is from RNAcentral.
UCCAGUUUAUCCUGCUGGAGGUUGCGGCUAUCUGGUUUGCACUUAGGCAUGCAAGUUCUUUUUAGUUCUUAGGAAUUGGGAAGGGCGAACUGCUCAGUAACACGUAGCUAACCUACCCUAAGAUCAAGAAUAAGCUCGGGAAACUGAGUCUAACACUUGAUAGAAGACGCUCACUGGAAUGUAGCGUCUUUUAAAUCUUCGGAGUCUUAGGAUGGGGCUGCGGCGGAUUAGGUUGUUGGCGGGGUAAUGGCCCACCAAGCCAACGAUCCGUAAGGGCCUUUAGCGAGGAAGCCCUGAGAGGGAAUCUGAGACACUAUUCCCAGCCUUACGGGGUGCAGCAGCCGGGGAUUUUUUGCAAUGCACGAAAGUGUGACAAAGCGAACCAGAGUGUCUUUUCAUAUUGGAAAGACUUUUACCAGUUGUAAAAAGACUGGUGAAUAAGGACUGGGCAAGACCGGUGCCAGCCGCCGCGGUAAUCCCGGCGGUCCAAGUCGCAGCCGCUAUUAUUGGGUCUAAAACAUCCGUAGCUUGUAAAGUAAGUCUUUUGUGAAACCUCACGUCUCAAGCGUGAAACGUGCAAGAGAUACUGCUUUACUAGAGACCGGGGGACGUAAGAAGUACGAUUGAGGUAGUGGUUAAAUACGUUAAUCUUAAUCGGACUAACGAUAGCGAAGGCAUCUUACGAUAACGGUUCUGACAGUAAGGGAUGAAGGCCAGGGGCGCAAAACGGAUUAGAUACCCGUGUAGUCCUGGCAGUAAACACUGCAUACUAAACAUUGGUACCUCCUCGAGAGGUGUCAGUGCUGCAGGGAAGCCGUAGAGUAUGCUACCUGGGAAGUAUAGUCGCAAGGCCGAAACUUAAAGGAAUUGGCGGGGAGGCACUACAACGGGUGACGCGUACGGUUCAAUUAGAAUCUACACCGUGAACCUCACCAGGACCGAUAGCAGGAUGAAGGUCAGUCUGAAGGGCUUACCUGACAUGCUGAGCGGAGGUGCAUGGCCGACGUCAGCCUGUGUCGUGAGAUGACCUGUUAAAUCAGGUAACAGGCGAGACCCACGUGUAUAGUUGCUACUUGGAGAAAGAGCACCCUAUACAGACCGCCUUGGUAACGAGGAGGAAGGUGUGGGCUACGUUAGGUGAGUACACCCCUAAUGCCCUGGGCGACACGAGCGCGGCAAUGCUGCAAUCAAUGAGAUGCAACUCCGAAAGGAGAAGCUAAUCCCAUAAACUGUAGCCUAGUUCAGAUUGAGGUUUGCAACUCAGCCUCAUGACGCUGGAAUCCGUAGUAAUCGUUUAUCAUCAAUGAACGGUGAAUAUGUCCCUGCCUCUUGCACACACUGCCCGUCAAACCAACCGAGUUUUGCAUUGAUGAGGCCCGGAAGGGACGAGUC